GAUGAACGCUGGCGGCGUGCCUAAUACAUGCAAGUCGAGCGAACGGACGAGAAGCUUGCUUCUCUGAUGUUAGCGGCGGACGGGUGAGUAACACGUGGAUAACCUACCUAUAAGACUGGGAUAACUUCGGGAAACCGUAGCUAAUACCGGAUAAUAUUUUGAACCGCAUGGUUCAAAAGUGAAAGACGGUCUUGCUGUCACUUAUAGAUGGAUCCGCGCUGCAUUAGCUAGUUGGUAAGGUAACGGCUUACCAAGGCAACGAUGCAUAGCCGACCUGAGAGGGUGAUCGGCCACACUGGAACUGAGACACGGUCCAGACUCCUACGGGAGGCAACAGUAGGGAAUCUUCCGCAAUGGGCGAAAGCCUGACGGAGCAACGCCGCGUGAGUGAUGAAGGUCUUCGGAUCGUAAAACUCUGUUAUUAGUGAAGAACAUAUGUGUAAGUAACUGUGCACAUCUUGACGGUACCUAAUCAGAAAGCCACGGCUAACUACGUG
RNAcentral lists this ribosomal RNA (497 nucleotides) under uncultured bacterium. RNAcentral's name for it is "partial 16S ribosomal RNA". It matches the Rfam family "Bacterial small subunit ribosomal RNA", at positions 28 to 507 of the family's 1533-position model. The record is from RNAcentral.